This 460-nucleotide ribosomal RNA is filed under the name uncultured bacterium. Its description in RNAcentral is "partial 16S ribosomal RNA". It matches the Rfam family "Bacterial small subunit ribosomal RNA", at positions 338 to 795 of the family's 1533-position model. The record is from RNAcentral.
CCUACGGGUGGCAGCAGUUAGGAAUAUUGGUCAAUUUUCUCCCGCCUGCCCCCGCCCCGUCCCGUGCGGGAUGACGGUCCUAUGGAUUGUAAACCUCUUUUGUCGGGGGGCAAGGCCCGCCACGUGUGGCGGGAAGGAGAGUACCCGAAGAAAAAGCAUCGGCUAACUCCGUGCCAGCAGCCGCGGUAAUACGGAGGAUGCGAGCGUUAUCCGGAUUUAUUGGGUUUAAAGGGUGCGUAGGCGGAAGGUUAAGUCAGCGGUCAAAUGUCGGUGCUCAACACCGGCCUGCCGUUGAAACUGGUCUUCUUGAGUGAGCGAGAAGUAUGCGGAAUGCGUGGUGUAGCGGUGAAAUGCAUAGAUAUCACGCAGAACUCCGAUUGCGAAGGCAGCAUACCGGCGCUCAACUGACGCUGAGGCACGAAAGCGUGGGGAUCGAACAGGAUUAGAUACCCCUGUAGUC